GAAAUGCGAUAAGUAAUGUGAAUUGCAGAAUUUAGUGAAUCAUCGAAUCUUUGAACGCACAUUGCGCCCUCUGGCAUUCCGGAGGGCAUGCCUGUUCGAGCGUCAUUACAACCCUCAAGCCCAGCUUGGUAUUGGGUCGCGCCGCCUGGCCGACCCCAAAGACAAUGGUGGCGCCCCCCGGCCCUCAGCGUAGUACAUCUCUCGCUGUAGGGUCCCGUGGUGGUGUCGACACCCUAAACUCACAAGGUUGACCUCGGAUCAGGUAGGGAUACCCGCUGAACUUAA
Molecule: unclassified non-coding RNA, 285 nt
Filed under: uncultured Fusidium
Lineage: Eukaryota; Fungi; Ascomycota; Sordariomycetes; Hypocreales; Nectriaceae
Description: sequence contains ITS1
Rfam family: 5.8S ribosomal RNA (bases 1-105)
Source: RNAcentral